This is a long non-coding RNA of Balaenoptera ricei (Rice's whale), 211 nucleotides long. RefSeq lists it as uncharacterized. The transcript has 3 exons. Lineage: Eukaryota; Metazoa; Chordata; Mammalia; Artiodactyla; Balaenopteridae. The record is from RefSeq and is a predicted model, not a curated record.
UGCGUAACAAUGGGUUUGCGUGCUGCUGGGAUUCGUGAGUCGCCGGCCUCGCUGGAACCAGGUUCUUGACGUCAUAAAACAGGAAGGUAGCUGAAUCCAGGCCAGAGAUCCGGAAGAUUUUAACUAACACUGGCUCAAGAUUCUUUCCCCAAAAGGUAAUAACUGCCUUUUCCUCAUAUGAAUGAAUUUCUGAUUGCACAACUGAAAAAAA